Molecule: transfer RNA, 67 nt
Filed under: Pheidole megacephala
Lineage: Eukaryota; Metazoa; Arthropoda; Insecta; Hymenoptera; Formicidae
Description: tRNA-Phe
Source: RNAcentral
AUUUAAAUAGCUUAUAGUAAAGUUUAAUAUUGAAGAUAUUAAGAAAAUUAAAUUUAAUUUUUAAAUA